RNAcentral lists this non-coding RNA (31 nucleotides) under Mus musculus (house mouse). The record is from RNAcentral. Lineage: Eukaryota; Metazoa; Chordata; Mammalia; Rodentia; Muridae.
UAAAAACCUUGAAUUGGAACUUCUUGUCUCC